AGGGACACACGAUGGAGAGCACUUUGAUCGAUCGCGUUAGUAGUGAAGAUAGAAUCGAUAGAAAAUCGUAACAAAACUUGGGAAUCCAGAACCUCAUCUUGAUAGUUAGAGAGAAGUGUGAUGGUGAGCGAUCGAGUAAGCGGAUAAUAAAAUCUAUAAAAAUCAAAGUUCAAUCGCUAGUGUCACCUUUUACAGUUGUAACU
This is a long non-coding RNA of Arabidopsis thaliana (thale cress), 203 nucleotides long. RefSeq annotates it as other RNA. The transcript has a single exon. Lineage: Eukaryota; Viridiplantae; Streptophyta; Magnoliopsida; Brassicales; Brassicaceae. The record is from RefSeq.